Molecule: long non-coding RNA, 1129 nt
Filed under: Chrysemys picta bellii (western painted turtle)
Lineage: Eukaryota; Metazoa; Chordata; Testudines; Emydidae
Description: lncRNA (ENSCPBG00000023632.1)
Source: RNAcentral
CUCCCCUCCCCCACCAGUGGGACCAAUGACUUCAGCCAGCAGUCUUCAGCCAGGACGACACGGAAACCCUGUUGGAGGAAGGGGGAAAAAAGUUGGGCUUCCACUGCCUGAAACACGCUGCUGGGGAAAGGAAGCGGGUGGAGAGAGCAGUGGUCCAGUGUAAUGUUUGUGCAAACAGCUCCAACUGGUCAAAGCAAGUGUCUUCUGCGGAUCAGAACUGGUGCGUCCAGCCAUUCUGUGGUCUCGCAUUUGCUCCCUCUGCCAUUACGCCCCCCACGUAGGACAGACUAUGGUCUCCACCUGCCCUGCCAAGUAGCGCUUUCUCCACAGGUGAAGCUGUUCAAGGGCAUGUGUGGCUGGAAACAGCACCGGCAAGAGAGCAAUGAGGGGGCAGGGGAGCCUUUCCCUUGCCGUCUGGUGCAAAAGGAGGAGGAAGGGGACAAUAACCGAAAAGAAUGGCAGUGGCUGGUUUUUUUCCUGCCUUACACAUCUUAGUUGCAGGGAUUGGAGUGGGAGAAGCGUUCCAUGCAACGGCGUCAGUUAAUGAACAAUAUCAUCUUGCACCUUUUGUCUGAGGAUCUCAAAAGACGUCACACACACUCAGCAAGCCUCACAACAGCCGUCUCAGGAAGAAGAGGGACAUAUUGUUAUUCCCAGCACUGAAAUCAAUGGCCAUUUGGCCCUGUCUGCACAGGCAGGGCCCGGCGGAGAGUAGAGAAGGUUUUGGCGACGGUAUACACUACCUGGUCCCGGCAGUAUUUGUAGGGAUCCGGGGUGUAGGAGGAGCCUCUGAUUCCGAUCUGAACCACGCGUUUGCAAUCCAGGAGCCCCUCCUCCACGCAGCGUCGGAAUGGCGUCCCAUGUUAGAUCUUCUCCCCCAGCACAGCACACACGGCCACAGCUGGCCCUGCAGGUUCAAAGCAGAGAGUGGCUGGGGUAGCAGAGACACACAGCACUUAUUCCACCCCCCUCACUCCUUCCCCCCCGGCAGGUUCAAAGUGCAGCAGCCAGAGAUGCAACAGCUUUAAACUCAGCCCUAUGCUUUCCCCUAAUCAAUUUCCUCUGCCCUCCUCCCUUCCCCCCUUGCAUUCUGGGAAAUGGAGUCUUUUCCUACUCUGGGUUUGUCAGG